UACGUAGGGGGCAAGCGUUGUCCGGAUUUAUUGGGCGUAAAGGGCGCGUAGGCGGCCUCCGCAAGUCAGUUGUGAAAUCUCCGAGCUUAACUCGGAAAGGUCAACUGAUACUGCGGGGCUAGAGUGCGGAAGGGGCAACUGGAAUUCUUGGUGUAGCGGUGAAAUGCGUAGAUAUCAAGAGGAACACCUGCGGCGAAGGCGGGUUGCUGGGCCGACACUGACGCUGAGGCGCGAAAGCGUGGGGAGCAAACAGG
Molecule: ribosomal RNA, 254 nt
Filed under: uncultured bacterium
Lineage: Bacteria
Description: partial 16S ribosomal RNA
Rfam family: Bacterial small subunit ribosomal RNA
Source: RNAcentral